AACAAAUCAAUCAGAACACUAAGCAACCCUGAAAUACUGUGCUUGAUCACUUUCUAUAAUCCGCUGUAACGUGCUCCUAAACAUACAGACCUCUUAGUGUAUUUAAAAUGAUUCAGUUUACUAAAGCAUAAUAAAAAACUUCUUGAGAAUCCACAGUUAAGAUGGCAGGUGUCCUCAUCUGUAUGUGCUGCACCAACAACAUUCUUGGAAGGGAGCGGUCCUACCAAACGACGACAGUCCUGAAAUAGAUGUGGAAUCCACUGAUGCAGCACACAGGGGAAUGCCACCGGAAGCUCUGAUCAAAGGGGACUGUGAGCUCCAGAAUUCCUGAUUGCGUUCAUCACAGAUGCCAAGUCUGUCAAAUUCUAAAGCAGGAAGUCAAUGGAACACAGAAAUCACAGAUUCUGAACAUAAUUCAAUGUUGAACGAUUCAAUUAAAUUUGAUUCAAACGUUUGGACUACAUGGCCCCCAUUUGACAAUGGAAGACUGGGACAAAAGACAUGCAGCAGAUCCUGAUGGAGCAACCUCAAGUGCCGGCCAAGCCCCUCCUGCUCCUCCUCUGCAUUAGGAAUUCUGCAAAUGAGUGAUGGUUCACAGGGGGCUCGAUCACAGAAAAGCAGUUGUUGAUCUUUGGCUGCCUGCAGGCCUGCAAUCUGUGCUACAAGUUUAUCCCUCCCAGAAAAAGCAAAAUAAAGAAGGACGAGACAAGAGGAUGGAACCAAUACAAGCAUCUGUAACAAGCUAAUUGGACCCUUGUGGGCCACCAGCAAGCACGAAACUAAAACAAACAGAGCCUCACAUUGUGCACCUUCAGGACCAGAUCCAUCCUGGGUCUGUCAGCUUUUCCCCUGCCUCCUCCCCUGACCCCCAUUUUUAAAGGACCUAAUUAUGGCUCUUUCCAAAGGAUCACAAGCCAGUUUUCAUCUAAAAAGAAUAAGGUAUUAUGCCUCCGAACUGGAGACACUGUUAGAAGUUGGUAAUUAGUAUGACUUGUUAAUAGAGUUUGGCUGUGAUUAAGCAGUGAUUGAGCGCGAGUUUGGUGCCUGUCAGUGGGGAAGCCUGAGGAGGGUGAGAGAUGUUUAAUGAGACACCUGUUGUUGGGGGUCCACUGGGGUUUGUUGCAGCUGAUUGGCACUUGGAUGCAGUGCGCUCGGUGCUGGGGGCUGGGCUGAGCCUGGCAGGUGGUUGGCACCAGAGCGGAGCUCGCCGCUCCCAGCAAGUCAGGGCUGGCUGAGUUUUCCGAGCUGUCUGUCCACGGCUGCAGCCACAUGUUCCCACAUGAUCUAGGUGGUGGGCUGACUGACUGUGCGCCAACCCCCAGCGGGCACUGCCCCUACUCUGCAAGAGGAAGAUCUCCAGGUCCCCCGUGACCCUCGCUCCCAACCAAGCACCGGGCGGGGCAUUGGGCACUCCUCCUCUCAUCCAGCCUCUCCUGUCCCCAGUGUAUAGCUGGGGAAACUGAGGCAAGGGAGGUUAAAUAGUUUGCCUAAGCUCACAGCCACCUCCAGGGCCCGAUGCACUGUAUGCAGAGCCAGCACCUCUCAAACCUUAAAAUGAUCCCUGGGGAGUGUGUUAAAACGCAGAGUCUGAGAGAGUAGGUCUUGGGUGGGGCUGGAGAGACCACCUUCCUAAGAGCUUCCCGGCAGUGCCCAUACUUUGAAUGAAGUCGGCAGGGUACUUCCUUGUACUAGAGUCACACAGAACCCCCUAAGAGAGAGAUGCUUAUCGUGCAUUUCAAUUUUAUGACUAGACCACAUCUUGCCUUUUGGAAGGGACAUACAUAGUAGUAAUAUACCUCAUCUUUGCCCAGAAACAGAGCCUGAUGCUAGAGAUGUUGGGGAACUCUCUAUCUAAGGGUGUAGUGUGUGGUGGAUGGGGCAAGUGG
This 1886-nucleotide long non-coding RNA is filed under the name Equus caballus (horse). RNAcentral's name for it is "lncRNA (ENSECAG00000052998.1)". The record is from RNAcentral. Lineage: Eukaryota; Metazoa; Chordata; Mammalia; Perissodactyla; Equidae.